Molecule: ribosomal RNA, 327 nt
Filed under: uncultured eukaryote
Lineage: Eukaryota
Description: partial 18S ribosomal RNA
Rfam family: Eukaryotic small subunit ribosomal RNA
Source: RNAcentral
CCCUUAGAUGUUCUGGGCCGCACACGCGCUACACUGAUUCAUGCAACAAGUUUUGUCCUUGGCUGAUAGGCCUGGGUAAUCUUUGAACGUGAAUCGUGAUGGGGAUAGAUGAUUGCAAUUAUUCAUCUUCAACGAGGAAUUCCUAGUAAACGCAAGUCAUCAGCUUGCAUUGAUUACGUCCCUGCCCUUUGUACACACCGCCCGUCGCACCUACCGAUUGAAUGGUCCGGUGAAAUCUUCGGAUCUGAGAGAUGUCUGAUUAAUUUCGGACGCCUUUUGGAAAAGUUGUUUAAACCUUACCAUUUAGAGGAAGGUGAAGUCGUAACA